Dromaius novaehollandiae (emu) is the source of this 2502-nucleotide long non-coding RNA. RefSeq lists it as uncharacterized. The transcript is spliced from 7 exons. NCBI's taxonomy places the organism in Eukaryota, Metazoa, Chordata, Aves, Casuariiformes, Dromaiidae. The record is from RefSeq and is a predicted model, not a curated record.
GCGAGCGCCCCCCCACCCCCUCUUCUCCUGCGGAGAGUCAGCGGCGGUGGGUGAGGUGGCGGCGGGGCUUGUGGGUGGUUUUCGCUGAUCGCGCGGGCAGGGUUGGAGGGGUACCUAGGCGUUUUUUUAAUGCCCUCCUUUUUACGAGGCUCGGCCUUUUUAGCGCGUUCUCGCUCUUUAGCGACGCCUCAUAACAGUUGAGGCUCGAGGUGGCGGUGAGACUCGCUCGUGGAAGGGGAGUCGGGGAGAGGGUACUAGGCCAUGUCAGGCCGUGCCGCGAGGGCCGGACCACCGGGAUAAGCCGCCCCGCUGCAUCCGCGGCACCGAGGGCACGGACUACACGCCCCAGUAUGCCUCGCGCUUCCGCGGGGAGGGGGCGAGAGGGUGGUGGGGCGCGUUGCCCGCCGGAAGCGACGGUGCGCGGCGCGAGGCAUUGUGGGAUGGGUAGUUGCCGGGGCCGCCGCGCGCGUGGCGGCGGGGGUACCAUUUUGCCCCGGCGCGGGCGGCGCCUGGUGAGGCUCUGCCCGGCCUACGCCAUUUUGGUACUAUGAAGAGGAAGUACUCAGUGGUGUCCGAUAUAUUGUACAGAAGCUUUAAGCCCUUCAUGGAAACACCAUCAGAACUAGAAGAAUGCUGGGUACACACAAGUGGAUGUUCCUGAAAGCUAUGCAUGUUUUGAAUGACCAAUGAACUGUAUGGUGUAUCAACAAGCAGUCUUAAGAAUGUGAAAGUCAAGUGGCCUGAUGAGAGAUUUCCUGGUGACUCUAGUACAACAGAUAGAGUGAUGUUUGAAAGCUGCUUCUAUCUUAAAGGGAAAUGGCAAAAACAUAGGAACAAAUACUUCCAGCUGUUCAGUGAUGAGUUGGAACAUUUUGUCAGUGCUACCUGACAAGUUUGGAUGGUCUGUAACUGGAAGGAAGUGUAACACCUGAAGAAAGUUUUUGUCGCUUGAAGUGGGACACCAUGUUUUUAAAAAUCUCCUGUUGAAACAGUUGAUGUCAUACUAUUUAGCAGAUACUGUUUUCAGAAAUUACUUGUGAACCAAAAUCACUCUGUCUACAUAUUUAAAAUAGCACCUUUUCCAAAACUUUGAGCUACCCUCCCUGUAGGGGGAUAACAGCAGUAUUAGGGAAACAAGCAGUGAGCAUCAGUUUCUGUGAAAAACCCCUAAGAGUAUUUGUCCUUUCAAAAUAUCUUAACUGUCUACAGAUUGGCUGAUCCUGAGCAUCUGUGUAACUCAAAACAGUGGAACUCAGAGGUAGACCAUGUAAAGAGAGGAUGAAAGCACAAAUAGUUACACAAGUUCCUACUAAUGAGCCUGCUUUUUGAGCAUAGUGUCAUCCAGGAGAUGAGAGCAAGUAGAUGAUCUGUGGUAAUCAGUUACUGAAGACACUGAGGAAGCAUAAACAUGAAACUUGUAAGAAAGAUUCAAGUGUCAUCAGAAUUUGUGGUUACAAAAAAAGCUAGGUCUAAAGCAUGCCUUGUCUUUUUUUAUCUAGUGAGGGAGAAAGAAGUGGGGUUUUUGUCUGCUACCUCAGCAAGGUCACUAGAGUGGAACUCUGGCCUUUGGGGGGAAAAGUCAGUAGAGGGAAAAGGGGGUACACACAUGGGAACAUCUGCUUUGAGCAUUCAUUUGAAAAGCAACCAUGCAGUAAAAUAGUAACAGCAUGCUCAUUGCAUUCAGCGAAUGAACACUUUUCCAGGGAGAGGGAUCAUAGAAAUCAUUAACCAAAUAAAUUAGGGUUUAAAGACAAACCAUUAUGUACAUAAGACCCAAUCUGCCUUAAAGCAUGGUCCUCAAAUCUAAAUGGCAGGAAAGCAUAAUAAAAGAAAAUGGCACAGUAGCAGUACAUCCAAAAAUUGAUAGAGCUACACAGUUAAGACUGUUUUCAUAGUCUCCAAGAUCACUAUUUCAUUGAAAGCUAAUUCACUAAAACACAGAAAAAUACCCUAAAGCUUGCACCCUUAACACAAAACUGGUGAAAAUGCUGAACUGGAUGCUAGCAGCCCUUUUCCCUUACAGAGUCAGAGGUUUUUUUAGCUCAUGGAAUAUGUCUGCUUCUAAAUGAUAAAUACCUGAAAAAGACCACUUUUCUGUCAGGCAAUACCAAAGAAAUGCAAAGCUUAACAAGUAGCAGUGUCCAAAAGCAUUGGGAAGGUCAGAAAUUAGGAGAAUCCAUUUGGCGACUAAACUGUAUACACUGUAGGUAUGACCAUGGGCUUCAGGAAUGUGCCAACACCGUUGGUUGUUGAUAGUGAGCAGUACCCAGCUACUUCGGUCAAAGGCUGCUCCUUUUCAGCAAGCAACUCUGUAAAUCUUAGCCACUGAAUGCAUCAGAAGCUGCAGAAUAUUACUGCAGAACAGCUUCCCUUUGCUUUCAGCAGGAUUUAUUACUUCUGGUAACAAAACAAAUACAGUGUUACUGAGGAGGAUAGGUAUUUCAAUGUGCAAUGUCUUGUAUGUGCUCUUUUUUGAAUAAAGAUGAGGAUGUGAAAAACCUG